Molecule: ribosomal RNA, 396 nt
Filed under: uncultured bacterium
Lineage: Bacteria
Description: partial 16S ribosomal RNA
Rfam family: Bacterial small subunit ribosomal RNA
Source: RNAcentral
AUACGUAGGGAGCGAGCGUUGUCCGGAAUUACUGGGUGUAAAGGGAGCGUAGGCGGGUGUGAAAGUCAGAUGUGAAAUACAUGGGCUCAACCGAAGGGGUGCAUUUGAAACUGAAGUUCUUGAGUGAAGUAGAGGAAAGUGGAAUUCCUGGUGUAGAGGUGAAAUGCGUAGAUAUCAGGAGGAACACCGGUGGCGAAGGCGGCUUACUGGGCGUUUACUGACGCUGAGGCUCGAAAGCGUGGGGAGCAAACAGGAUUAGAUACCCUGGUAGUCCACGCUGUAAACGAUGAUUACUAGGUGUGGGGGGACUGACCCCUUCCGUGCCGCAGUUAACACAAUAAGUAAUCCACCUGGGGAGUACGGCCGCAAGGUUGAAACUCAAAUGAAUUGACGGGG